ACUAGCAGUAAGAGUUUGAUCAUGGCUCAGAACGAACGCUGGCGGCAUGCCUAACACAUGCAAGUCGAACGAGACCUUCGGGUCUAGUGGCGCACGGGUGCGUAACGCGUGGGAACCUGCCCUUAGGUUCGGAAUAACUUCCCGAAAGGGAUGCUAAUACCGGAUAAUGUCUUCGGACCAAAGAUUUAUCGCCUUUGGAUGGGCCCGCGUUGGAUUAGCUAGUUGGUGGGGUAAAGGCCUACCAAGGCGACGAUCCAUAGCUGGUCUGAGAGGAUGAUCAGCCACACUGGGACUGAGACACGGCCCAGACUCCUACGGGAGGCAGCAGUGGGGAAUAUUGGACAAUGGGCGAAAGCCUGAUCCAGCAAUGCCGCGUGAGUGAUGAAGGCCUUAGGGUUGUAAAGCUCUUUUACCCGGGAUGAUAAUGACAGUACCGGGAGAAUAAGCUCCGGCUAACUCCGUGCCAGCAGCCGCGGUAAUAC
Molecule: ribosomal RNA, 482 nt
Filed under: uncultured bacterium
Lineage: Bacteria
Description: bacterial SSU rRNA
Rfam family: Bacterial small subunit ribosomal RNA
Source: RNAcentral